RNAcentral lists this ribosomal RNA (468 nucleotides) under uncultured bacterium. RNAcentral's name for it is "partial 16S ribosomal RNA". It matches the Rfam family "Bacterial small subunit ribosomal RNA", at positions 28 to 507 of the family's 1533-position model. The record is from RNAcentral.
GACGAACGCUGGCGGCGUGCUUAACACAUGCAAGUCGAACGGAAAGGCCCUGCUUUUGUGGGGUGCUCGAGUGGCGAAAGGGUGAGUAACACGUGAGUAACCUGCCCUUGACUUUGGGAUAACUUCAGGAAACUGGGGCUAAUACCGGAUAGGAGCUCCUGCUGCAUGGUGGGGGUUGGAAAGUUUCGGCGGUUGGGGAUGGACUCGCGGCUUAUCAGCUUGUUGGUGGGGUAGUGGCUUACCAAGGCUUUGCCGGGUAGCCGGCCUGAGAGGGUGACCGGCCACGUUGGGACUCAGGUACGGCCCAGACUUCUACGGGAGGCAGCAGUGGGCAAAAGUGCACAGUGGGCGGAAGGCUGGUGCGGCAACGCCGUGUGCGGGAUGACGGCCUUCGGGUUGUAAACCGCUUUCGCCUGUGAGGAAGGGUGAGUGCCGGAAAUGGGUAAAGAAGCACCGGCUAACUACGUG